Molecule: ribosomal RNA, 253 nt
Filed under: uncultured bacterium
Lineage: Bacteria
Description: partial 16S ribosomal RNA
Rfam family: Bacterial small subunit ribosomal RNA
Source: RNAcentral
UACGUAGGGGGCAAGCGUUGCCCGGAUUUAUUGGGCGUAAAGAGUUCGUAGGUGGUUUGUCGCGUUGUCCGUGAAAACUCACAGCUCAACUGUGGGCGUGCGGGCGAUACGGGCAGACUGGAGUACUGCAGGGGAGACUGGAAUUCCUGGUGUAGCGGUGGAAUGCGCAGAUAUCAGGAGGAACACCGGUGGCGAAGGCGGGUCUCUGGGCAGUAACUGACGCUGAGGAGCGAAAGCGUGGGGAGCGAACAGG